UACGAAGGGUGCAAGCGUUAUCCGGAAUUAUUGGGCGUAAAGAGCUCGUAGGCGGUUUGUCGCGUCUGCCGUGAAAGUCCGGGGCUCAACUCCGGAUCUGCGGUGGGUACGGGCAGACUAGAGUGAUGUAGGGGAGACUGGAAUUCCUGGUGUAGCGGUGAAAUGCGUAGAGAUCCGGAAGAACACCGGUGGCGAAGGCGGUCUGCUGGGGUAAUGCUGACACUGAUGCGCGACAGCGUGGGGAGCAAACAGG
Molecule: ribosomal RNA, 253 nt
Filed under: uncultured bacterium
Lineage: Bacteria
Description: partial 16S ribosomal RNA
Rfam family: Bacterial small subunit ribosomal RNA
Source: RNAcentral